RNAcentral lists this ribosomal RNA (253 nucleotides) under uncultured bacterium. RNAcentral describes it as "partial 16S ribosomal RNA". It matches the Rfam family "Bacterial small subunit ribosomal RNA", at positions 524 to 776 of the family's 1533-position model. The record is from RNAcentral.
UACGGGGGGGGCAAGCGUUGUCCGGAAUUAUUGGGCGUAAAGAGCUCGUAGGCGGUUCGUCGCGUCGGCUGUGAAAACCCGGAGCUCAACUCCGGGCCUGCAGUCGAUACGGGCGGACUUGAGUGUUGCAGGGGAGACUGGAAUUCCUGGUGUAGCGGUGAAAUGCGCAGAUAUCAGGAGGAACACCGGUGGCGAAGGCGGGUCUCUGGGCCGAUACUGACGCUGAGGAGCGAAAGCGUGGGGAGCGAACAGG